This 616-nucleotide ribosomal RNA is filed under the name Rhodobacteraceae bacterium GUDS930. RNAcentral's name for it is "bacterial SSU rRNA". It matches the Rfam family "Bacterial small subunit ribosomal RNA", at positions 56 to 718 of the family's 1533-position model. The record is from RNAcentral. Lineage: Bacteria; Pseudomonadati; Pseudomonadota; Alphaproteobacteria; Rhodobacterales; Paracoccaceae.
UGCAAGUCGAGCGCGCCCUUCGGGGUGAGCGGCGGACGGGUUAGUAACGCGUGGGAAUAUGCCCAAAGGUACGGAAUAGCCUCUGGAAACGGAGAGUAAUACCGUAUGUGCCCUUCGGGGGAAAGAUUUAUCGCCUUUGGAUUAGCCCGCGUUAGAUUAGGUAGUUGGUGGGGUAAUGGCCUACCAAGCCUACGAUCUAUAGCUGGUUUUAGAGGAUGAUCAGCAACACUGGGACUGAGACACGGCCCAGACUCCUACGGGAGGCAGCAGUGGGGAAUCUUGGACAAUGGGGGCAACCCUGAUCCAGCCAUGCCGCGUGAGUGAUGAAGGCCUUAGGGUCGUAAAGCUCUUUCGCCUGUGAAGAUAAUGACGGUAGCAGGUAAAGAAACCCCGGCUAACUCCGUGCCAGCAGCCGCGGUAAUACGGAGGGGGUUAGCGUUGUUCGGAAUUACUGGGCGUAAAGCGCACGUAGGCGGAUCGGAAAGUUGGGGGUGAAAUCCCGGGGCUCAACCCCGGAACUGCCUCCAAAACUAUCGGUCUAGAGUUCGAGAGAGGUGAGUGGAAUUCCGAGUGUAGAGGUGAAAUUCGUAGAUAUUCGGAGGAACACCAGUGGCGA